CCCAGGACCCAGAGAUCCUGACCUGAGCCAAAGGCAGCUGCUUACCCGACUGAGCCACCCAGGUUUUUACUUAUCUGAUAGAGCACAAGCGGAGGGAGCAGCAGGGAGAGGAAGAAGCUGACUCCUCACUGAGCAGGGAGCCGGAUGCGGGGCUAGAUCCCAAGUGCCCAGGAUUGUGACCUGAGCCGAAGGCAGUUGGCCAACUGACUGAGCCACCCAGGUAUUCAGGUGAUUUGAUAACCAUCUAGCUGAAUUCCAGGGACCAGACACACUUAGGGUCCCCUAUUCCUCUGCAGUCUUAACUCACCCCUGUUGUGCCCAAGAUUGUGAAUCCGAGAAACCACCAAGGAGCCGACACCGAUGCAAGUACACGAGGGUUUAUUUACAAGCUCGAGCUUGGGUUCAAGUAUACUCCACACAGCAGAGCAGGGGCUUGGACCCCUAAGUGGGUUACAGCUGGGUUUUUUAUGGGCUGGUCUAGGGGAUUUUCAGAAGAGGUGGAGGAAUUUUUUUUUCUUUCCAAUAUGGGGAAAGGGUCGGGGAGUUUCUUAUGAUCUGAUAUGGGAUUUCCUGCCGAGGACAUUCUGCAGUUUUUCCUGUAAAGUUCAGCUCUUAUUCCCAGGGGCCCAAGAUGGCUGUACUUGUGCUAAUGCUAAACUUGAGGUGGAAUGGCCUUAAUUUUUCUCGGCCUCCACAACCCCCAACAGUAACCCCUAUCUCUGGUUUUGUAUGCUUCAGCAUUUCUCCCUAUCUCGGAUUUCUGUGAGCCUCGUCAUGCAGCCCCUACCCGUGUCUCCCUUCCUAGUCCUGCAUGUCAUGGAUGGACCUCCAGGGCAUGGUGCUAAAUUAAGUCAGUCAAAGACAAAUAUGGUAUGAUCUUACAUGUGGAAUCUAUUUUUUUUAGAGAUUUUAUUUAUUCAUCUUAGAGAAUGUGCACAAGUCAGGGAGAGAGGGAGAGGGAGAAGCAGGCUCCCU
This is a long non-coding RNA of Canis lupus familiaris (dog), 975 nucleotides long. RefSeq lists it as uncharacterized. The transcript is spliced from 3 exons. The record is from RefSeq and is a predicted model, not a curated record. NCBI's taxonomy places the organism in Eukaryota, Metazoa, Chordata, Mammalia, Carnivora, Canidae.